CCUACGGGGGGCUGCAGUGGGGAAUCUUGCGCAAUGGGCGAAAGCCUGACGCAGCCAUGCCGCGUGAAUGAUGAAGGUCUUAGGAUUGUAAAAUUCUUUCACCGGGGACGAUAAUGACGGUACCCGGAGAAGAAGCCCCGGCUAACUUCGUGCCAGCAGCCGCGGUAAUACGAAGGGGGCUAGCGUUGCUCGGAAUUACUGGGCGUAAAGGGCGCGUAGGCGGAUCGUUAAGUCAGAGGUGAAAUCCCGGAGCUCAACUUCGGAACUGCCUUUGAUACUGGCGAUCUUGAGUGUGAGAGAGGUAUGUGGAACUCCGAGUGUAGAGGUGAAAUUCGUAGAUAUUCGGAAGAACACCAGUGGCGAAGGCGACAUACUGGCUCAUUACUGACGCUGAGGCGCGAAAGCGUGGGGAGCAAACAGGAUUAGAUACCCCAGUAGUC
Molecule: ribosomal RNA, 440 nt
Filed under: uncultured Brevundimonas sp.
Lineage: Bacteria; Pseudomonadati; Pseudomonadota; Alphaproteobacteria; Caulobacterales; Caulobacteraceae
Description: bacterial SSU rRNA
Rfam family: Bacterial small subunit ribosomal RNA
Source: RNAcentral